This 403-nucleotide ribosomal RNA is filed under the name uncultured bacterium. Its description in RNAcentral is "partial 16S ribosomal RNA". It matches the Rfam family "Bacterial small subunit ribosomal RNA", at positions 28 to 526 of the family's 1533-position model. The record is from RNAcentral.
GACGAACGCUGGCGGCGUGCCUAAUACAUGCAAGUCGAACGCAGUGGGGACGGGUGAGUAACACGUGGGUAACCUCCCAUCAGAGGGGAUAACACUUGGACAUAGGUGCUAAACCGAUACUGAUGGAUGGAUCCGCGUUGGAUUAGCUAGUUGGUGAGGUAACGGCGCACCAAGGACACGAUGCAGAGCCGACCUGAGAGGGUGAUCGGCCUCCCUGGGACUGAGACACGGCCCAGACUCCUACGGGAGGCAGCAGUAGGGAUUCUUCGGCAAUGGACGAAAGUCUGACCGAGCAACGCCGAGUGAGUGAAGAAGGUUUUCGGAGCGUAAAACUCUGUUGUUAGAGAAGCGUUAUCUAACCAGAAAGCCACGGCUAACUACGUGCCAGCAGCCGCGGUAAUUC